This 497-nucleotide ribosomal RNA is filed under the name uncultured bacterium. RNAcentral describes it as "partial 16S ribosomal RNA". It matches the Rfam family "Bacterial small subunit ribosomal RNA", at positions 28 to 507 of the family's 1533-position model. The record is from RNAcentral.
GAUGAACGCUGGCGGCGUGCCUAAUACAUGCAAGUCGAGCGAACAGACGAGGAGCUUGCUCCUCUGACGUUAGCGGCGGACGGGUGAGUAACACGUGGAUAACCUACCUAUAAGACUGGGAUAACUUCGGGAAACCGGAGCUAAUACCGGAUAAUAUAUUGAACCGCAUGGUUCAAUAGUGAAAGACGGUUUUGCUGUCACUUAUAGAUGGAUCCGCGCCGCAUUAGCUAGUUGGUAAGGUAACGGCUUACCAAGGCAACGAUGCGUAGCCGACCUGAGAGGGUGAUCAGCCAAACUGGAACUGAGACACGGUCCAGACUCCGACGGGAGGCAGCAGUAGGGAAUCUUCCGCAAUGGGCGAAAGCCUGACGGAGCAACGCCGCGUGAGUGAUGAAGGUCUUCGGAUCGUAAAACUCUGUUAUUAGGGAAGAACAAAUGUGUAAGUAACUAUGCACGUCUUGACGGUACCUAAUCAGAAAGCCACGGCUAACUACGUG